Molecule: long non-coding RNA, 814 nt
Organism: Hipposideros armiger (great roundleaf bat)
Lineage: Eukaryota; Metazoa; Chordata; Mammalia; Chiroptera; Hipposideridae
Exons: 5
Source: RefSeq, a predicted model, not a curated record
GCAGAUGCUAGGCUGCGGGCCUCGGCGCCAUAUUUAGUGCUGGCCGGGACGACUGCGUCUCCGGGCGUCUAGGAAGUAGCUGCGUGCGGUCCGCGCCAUGUUAAGUCGGGGCAAAGGAACGGAGUAUUUUGAGGACUGGGCGCCGAGACCAAUUGAUUCUCAAAGCCGCGUUGGAAGUGCGCAGACGCACGAGAGGUUCAGCAAGUCUAACAGAUUCCCAGGAGAAAUGAAGAGUCGUGUUAAAGCUUAAGAUACGUUUCUACCCCAUUGCUGUAACUCUUCACAGAGCUACAAGUGUCGUGAGUAGUUUCAGGUCAACACUGUCCACUUUUAUGGUUUAAUGGGGAAACCCUCUCAGGCAAAAGUGUGCCGUUUGAUACCUGCACUCAGGCAGUAACUAAAGCAGAGACCUGACUGUACGAAUGGAUGGAAGGCAUUAAGACAUGAAAGGAAGCCAAGGACAGCUGUGUCCCUAGACAGAGCACUGACCAUGGGCAUGUGGAAUCCAGGCCUGGCGCUGCCUGUGAUCUUGGCGAGAUGCUGCCCAUCUGAUUGACGGUGCUGGAUUAGAUCGAAAGCUCCACUUCAUGCUCGUCCCCCACUGCCCCAAAACGUCCUUGAGUGUCUCCUGAAGGCAGAUCUACAGGUUUUCCAAGCCACACAUACCUACACCUAAUAAUGCAUGUGAUGGUGCCUGGACAUCUGUGAUUGAAAUACUUCCCAAGGUCUGAGUUCUUACAGCACAAUGCUCAGUGGGUAGAGAUUGCAGAAAAGGCUGGGAGACAAGGAACACUCGCUGGAGGUGAAGAGAGCG